This 783-nucleotide ribosomal RNA is filed under the name uncultured Neocallimastigales. RNAcentral describes it as "partial large subunit ribosomal RNA". It matches the Rfam family "Eukaryotic large subunit ribosomal RNA", at positions 17 to 649 of the family's 3401-position model. The record is from RNAcentral. Lineage: Eukaryota; Fungi; Neocallimastigomycota; Neocallimastigomycetes; Neocallimastigales.
ACGAGCACGCGCGUGUGGCAUAUCAAUAAGCGGAGGAAAAGAAACUAACUAGGAUUCCCUCAGUAACGGCGAGUGAAGCGGGAAGAGCUCAAAUUUGAAAUCUUCAAGGUUUUACCUUGACGAAUUGUAGUUUAAAGAAGUGUUUUCUGUUGGUGUUUUGGUAAAAGUUCUUUGGAAUAGGACAUCAUAGAGGGUGAGAAUCCCGUAUUUGGUCAUUCUUUCUAGCUUUGUGAUACACUUUCAACGAGUCGGAUUGUUUGGGAAUGCAGUCCAAAAUGGGUGGUAAAUUUCAUCUAAAGCUAAAUAUUGGCGAGAGACCGAUAGCGAACAAGUACCGUGAGGGAAAGAUGAAAAGAACUUUGAAAGGAGAGUUAAACAGUACGUGAAAUUGUCAAAAGGGAAGCGUUUGACACCAGUGUUGUUUUUCCGAAAAUCAAUUACGAAUGGCUUGAUUUUGUGUUGUAUCGACCUUAUCAGCUUUCUGCACUCUUUUUCGCUGUCUUUUUUAAUGCACUUUUCGGUUAACAAGUCAACAUCAAUUUCUUUUGUUGUAAAAGAGGUAUUAGGAAGGUGGCUUUCUUUUCGGAGAAAGUGUUUAUAGCCUUAUACCUCUACAAUCGGAGAGAUUGAGGUCUGCAGCGUAGAUCCUUCGGGGUUAGAUACACUUUGUGCUAAGUUAGUAGCUUUUCAUAGACAACUUGUUGACUAUGUUUAGUCAUUGUAGGCUUACUCGCUUACUGCUAUUUUACCUACGCUUAGGAUGUUGAGUAGCGACAUACGCAC